ACGGUGGCAUCCGAAAAACCAACUAACAAUAGAGUAGGAA
Molecule: non-coding RNA, 40 nt
Organism: Kordia algicida OT-1
Lineage: Bacteria; Pseudomonadati; Bacteroidota; Flavobacteriia; Flavobacteriales; Flavobacteriaceae
Source: Rfam